Molecule: long non-coding RNA, 1231 nt
Filed under: Macaca fascicularis (crab-eating macaque)
Lineage: Eukaryota; Metazoa; Chordata; Mammalia; Primates; Cercopithecidae
Description: lncRNA (ENSMFAG00000056059.1)
Source: RNAcentral
GAGACUCUCGGGGGAAAAAAAAAAAAGAAAAAGAAAGAAAGGAAGCUGUAGCAAAUGCUUCUCCUGUGAAACCCCCAGAAGAUGUCAGGCUCUGAAGUGGGCUGCUGUUUGUGGCUUUUCUCCCUCUGCUGUUCUUCGAGUCUGUUUCUGUGCAUCCUGUCCCUAGAGAGAAGCCAAGGGCAUAUGUCACCAGAAAAUAGCUGCAGGGCCAGAGUCUUACACAAGGAUUUGGAUACGGAACAGGCUUGGACAGACAAGGAGAAGACUGUUGCAGACAUAGGGCAGUGAGCAAGGACACCCACAGCCACAGGGAGGAUAGGAACAAAGGACUGAGUCUCACGACAAGCCCGGCUAGGUCAGGCAGAACUGGAGAAGUCAGGAGGGGAAAACAGUCGGGGCCCCUGCAGCUAAGAGUGAGAUGUGGAGUGUGAGAGGAAGGUGAAUAGAAUGGAACGAAGGGGUUUUGCUGCUGCUUUAAAAAUUCCUGUCACAUUUUAUUUUAGAUUCAAGAGGUACAUAUGCAUGUUUGUUACAUGGGAACAUUGCAUACUGGUGGGACUGGGCUUCCAGGACACCCAUUAUAACUUUGCUUCUUAUACACAGCUUUACUCUGAACUAUUUUGAACGUGGUGGGAACAAAGCCUGUUUGAAAGUGAUUUUUCUCUGAGGCCAGGGCAGGAUGGCGGGACGGGGGAGGCGUUGGGGUGGGGGUGAUGGCUCACAGCUCAGAGAGCACUCCAACUUGGAGAUAAGUGGAGGCAGAAGGUCAGGGAUGAUUCCUUGGAAGUCCAAAGAACUGCUUAUUUGCCUCCUGAGGGGAAUUAACAUGAGAAAUCACAGAGAACUCUUGAGGCUACACUGGUCCUUUCGUAAUGCUGAAAUAGAUCAGUCGCUGCCAGGUUUCCAUUAAAGGAAGAUCCUUUUCAUCCAAAUUUUAAUUAUAGAGGCCAGGUGCAGUGGCUCACACCUGUAAUCCCAGCACUUUGGGAGGCCAAGGAGGGCAGGUCUGGAGAUCGAGACCACCCUGGCCAACAUGGUGAAACCCCAUCUCUACUAAAAAUACAAAAAUUAGCUGGGAGUGGUGGUGGGUGCCUAUCAUCCCAGCUACUCAGGAGACUGAGGUAUAAGAAUCUCUUGAACCUGGGAGGCAGCAGAGGUUGCAGUGAGCCUAGAUUGGGCCACUGCACUCCAGCCUGGGCAACAGAGGGAGACUCUGUCUCAAAAAAAAAAA